AUUGAACGCUGGCGGCAGGCCUAACACAUGCAAGUCGAGCGGAAACGACAUUAUUGAUUCUUCGGAGGACUUAAUGGGCGUCGAGCGGCGGACGGGUGAGUAAUGCCUAGGAAAUUGCCUUGAUGUGGGGGAUAGCCAUUGGAAACGAUGGCUAAUACCGCAUAAUGCCUACGGGCCAAAGAGGGGGAUCUUCGGACCUCUCGCUCAUAGAUUAGCCCAAGUGAGAUUAGCUAGUUGGUAAGGUAAUGGCUUACCAAGGCGACGAUCUCUAGCUGGUUUGAGAGGAUGAUCAGCCACACUGGGACUGAGAUACGGCCCAG
This 320-nucleotide ribosomal RNA is filed under the name uncultured bacterium. Its description in RNAcentral is "bacterial SSU rRNA". It matches the Rfam family "Bacterial small subunit ribosomal RNA", at positions 30 to 334 of the family's 1533-position model. The record is from RNAcentral.